AGUGAACGCUGGCGGUAGGCCUAACACAUGCAAGUCGAACGGAAGCACAGUAAGAGCUUGCUCUUACGGGUGGCGAGUGGCGGACGGGUGAGGAAUACAUCGGAAUCUACUUUUUCGUGGGGGAUAACGUAGGGAAACUUACGCUAAUACAGCAUACGACCUACGGGUGAAAGCAGGGGAUCUUCGGACCUUGCGCGAUUGAAUGAGCCGAUGUCGGAUUAGCUAGUUGGCGGGGUAAAGGCCCACCAAGGCGACGAUCCGUAGCUGGUCUGAGAGGAUGAUCAGCCACACUGGAACGGGGACACGGUCCAGACUCCUAAGGGAGGCAGCAGUGGGGAAUAUUGGACAAUGGGCGCAAGCCUGAUCCAGCCAUACCGCGUGGGUGAAGAAGGCCUUCGGGUUGUAAAGCCCUUUUGUGGGGAAAGAAAAGCAGCAGGUUAAUACCCCGCUGUUCUGACGGUACCCAAAGAAUAAGCACCGGCUAACUUCGUG
This 492-nucleotide ribosomal RNA is filed under the name uncultured bacterium. RNAcentral's name for it is "partial 16S ribosomal RNA". It matches the Rfam family "Bacterial small subunit ribosomal RNA", at positions 29 to 507 of the family's 1533-position model. The record is from RNAcentral.